This 2565-nucleotide long non-coding RNA is filed under the name Oreochromis niloticus (Nile tilapia). Its description in RNAcentral is "lncRNA (ENSONIG00000028949.1)". Lineage: Eukaryota; Metazoa; Chordata; Actinopteri; Cichliformes; Cichlidae. The record is from RNAcentral.
CUGAAUCCAAAUUCUACUUCUUAAAUAAGAAUUUAAGAAGUAGUGAAACAGCUGAUUCAGUGGAAUAAGCUCAUCUGUAUGUGUUUUAUUGUGCAGAACGUGAUCCAGCUGUAGUCUACUCAACAAUGAGAACUGAAGACGUCAGUUAUGGACAAAUCAUCAUCAAAGACAAGAAGAAAACAUCAAAGAUGAGAGAGAGUGAUCCAGCCACAGUCUACUCUGCAGUGAAAACUGAGGAAUUCAGUUAUGGACAAAGAGUGAUCAGACCAAAGAAGAUUAGAGACUUUAAACCAGAGCCAGACGUCGUCUAUUCUUCACUGAAGUAGUCCACCAGUCAAACCACUGACGUCCAGCUGCUGGUCUCUAACUGGUCUACCAAGCACCUCAGACCAGAGGACAUCCACAUGUUACGGAUUUUUAUAUGUUUUAUGUCUUUUUAUCACUGAAUUAGGAUCACAGGACACAAAAUUACUCCUUUGGGGGAAUUUAUAAACAUGUUUUAUAAAUGCACAUGUCUUUGUAAUAAAAUCCUCUGGUUGCUUUAUGUCCUCAUUAAUUUUACUGUGUUUAUUUUUCUUUGCCGGCUCUUAUUCACAUAAAAAUGAUCUGGGCUUUUUGGAUGAAAGAUGUGAGAAAACUUUUGUUUUGUUUUCCUCAUGUGGUUCUGUGGGUUUGACUGACAUCGCAGAUGGAAAAUUUAAAUACUUCUGGUUUGGUUGUGGCUAACCAAUACACACCUCUCUUCACAGCAGAAACCAAAAUAAACCUCAGACUAAAACAGCACAGGCAUGAUUCAAUGUCAGUAAACUGCACAGAAAAACUUCAGUAUAGGAUGUUUGUGUACAUCUAUAGAAUUUAUUCUUUAUCUUCUUAGCGACCUGGGAAAAAACAACAAUCCGCAUAUGACACUGUAAAAAAAUUGAGCAAAAAUACUAAAAAAUUCUCUGGCAGUAACUAUAAAGAAUGUUUGCUCAUUUUAGGGUUACCAUUAGGUUUAGAUUACCAGCUGUUUUUUUUUUUGGUUUUUUUUUAAAUUAGUGGUCAGACAGUGUGUGGAGUUAGUGUUGAUGAAGCUGUGUGUAAAUGGUGUAGUUUGUCUCUGUGUUGAGGUGGAUCCAAGGGCGUAGAUUUGGUUUUGGCAUUGGUGGGGACAGAUGAUUCAACCACCAAACCCUGCUGUUUCUUUUUUUUUUCUUUUUGUCUUUGCUUCUUAAUAAAAUGAGGAGAAAUAUAUUUGCCUACAUGUACUAUUCUGCAUAGGGCUGGGCCAUAUUAUACCGUUCACGAUAAUACCGGUAGAAAGCUAGGCAACGAUAAGAAAAUGACAUAUCGUGAUAGAAUAUGGGUAAAACACGCAUGCGCAGUGCCGAAAAAGCACGGAGAAUGCACGGUAACGGAGAAUGUGAAUGGGGAAAGUAGAUUGUUGAGUGAAAAGGAUGAGCCAGAAUUGUUUUGUAAAAAUGGUGCAGCUUAACUGGUUUGGUGUUUGUCCGUCAGAUACACAACAAAGCACUUUUUUUGUAGAACAUGCAAGCGGGCCGUCGUUAUUGCCGUAUUUGUCGGACUAAGGUGCUUGUAAAGCUGGGAGUAAUCUGGGAGCUAAACUCUGUCCUUUAAAGUCCCGAAGUCAAACGAACAUCACUGAGAGUUUAAAACUGUCUAAAUUCUUUCACAUUUAAUGAAAUGAUCAGCAUUGCUACUUUUCCAGGUGUAACUAUUUAGUUUAACAUCCAGGCAUCCAUGAAAACAGAAUUCAUUACAUUUAACAGAGUUAGAAGUUAGCAGGAAGUUAGCAGAAGUUAGCUCGCUAGUUUCGCUAGUUACAUAAACAUGAUAUAGCAUGUUCUGACUGAGAGAUUUCUGAAAAAAUUCAAAUGUACAGCUCUGCUAUCACUUCCAACAUAAAUGAAGACAGGAAACUAAACAACAGUGACGUUUGUAGGGUUACUGAAGUUGGGCUAGCUGGUAUAUAAUGAUGUGCUACGUGAUCGCUAGCGACACAGCUAUGUUAGCAUAAUUUAAACAGUGAAGCUGGAGGAUGAACGCUAACUUUUAUCUGCUUGAUAAAAGUUAAUGUGAAGGUUCCUGAUGGUUAGAGACAAAUGCAAUCGCAUAGCAGGAUGCUGUAAACGGACCAAACUUCAGUCAGGAGAACAACUGAGAUAAUCCAUCCACAAUAGAAGGUUAGUCAUUAAUAUACUGCAACAACAUGGGAACAGAGCAGCUGUGAUAGAAUACAGCAUUAAUGAAUCAAUGGUACUGAAGUGGAGGAAGCAAGAAGAAUGAGUUGAAUAAAGUUUGAUUUAUCUGACUGCUUUGUUUCGCUUAAUGUGCCUUAUAAUCCCGUGCACCGUAUGGUCCGAAAAAUAUGUAUUUGACUUUUUUAUUUGGCACACUGCAGUAUAAUGUUGCAAAGCACCUCUUUUUAACUUCAGUGGAUAUUAUACAUGGUUAUGCUCAGGAUAUGUCAGCCCAUUUCUACUGGAAAUGCCUUUUGGUUAAACUUUCAGCAAGGAAUUUGCAUUUGCACUGUUAAAUGUUUAUAUAGCUUUAAUGCCUAUAAAA